RNAcentral lists this long non-coding RNA (542 nucleotides) under Gallus gallus (chicken). The record is from RNAcentral. Lineage: Eukaryota; Metazoa; Chordata; Aves; Galliformes; Phasianidae.
UGGAGUUCCAGGUGGCAGGUCGUUUUCUUCUUGCCCAUUGGCCUCUGGAGUGCCAAGGCGAGACAGUUCCUCGGGGGCUUCGGGGUAAAUAAUGGCUGUGUCGCUGCGCUGCAGGUACUCUGCUAUGCUGACUGCAUGCCCAUCUCCUUCCUCCAGUUUCCUUUUGGCAAAAUAUUCCUCAAAGUCCGACGUGCAAUUUGCAUUCUUAACUAAAAUGAGAGAAGGGGAAAAGAAGGGGUUGUGAGUGCAUCCUGCCUGAGUGCAGCCUGAGAGCUGAGCAGUCGUGCGUGCUGGAGCUCCAAGGCUGGAUCCUUGCUCUCACCAGUUGUGCUCCAGCUCCCAAUAAAAUUAAUGCUGGCUUUCCACCGGCUGGGAUGGAAGUAAGGCCGGGCAGUUAAAUUAACAGCCACACGGGCUCUACAGGGCAGCACAAGAAGUUUAUGAGGUCUCAGCAAUGCAGGUAACACUUCAUCUAGGCAGCUUCUGGGAGUCUCCUGGGGGAUUCACAACUGACAGGGCUGAGCUCAGCUGCCCCCAAAUCC